CUUAAGGCGGUUUUCCACUAGGCGAAAUUUUUCGACCGAAUUGAAAUUUCUCUUUGUUUCAGAGCUCUCGAGCAGAACUAAUUGUAAAAAGACAAAGAGAAAUUUCGUUUCGGUCGAAAAAUUCCGCCUCGUGGAAUCCGGCCUUUAAAGGCCUGAUUCCACGAGGCGGAAUUUUUCGACCGAAACGAAUUACAAUUAGUUCUGCUCGAGAGCUCCGAAACAAAGAGAAAUUUCGAUUCGGUCGAAAAAUUUCGCCUAGUGGAAAACCGCCUUAAG
This is a non-coding RNA of Paramuricea clavata, 276 nucleotides long. The record is from the annotation of a GenBank genome assembly. Lineage: Eukaryota; Metazoa; Cnidaria; Anthozoa; Malacalcyonacea; Plexauridae.